ACCAUCCAGUUAACAUCCACAGACAAGAAGACGAAGGUGCUCACCGGACAUUGAAGAGUAAACAGGCAGAUAACGCACAUUGCCUUGAGUGUGUCCCACUCUCCAACUAAGUAUUCAGUUGUGAAUACUGUUGAGGUUGGUGGUUCGUCCAGGGGACAUGCAGCCAGAGGAUUGCCCGUGGUAUCAUGGGUGGCUGAGCUACGCGUGGAUUGCGAGGAAAUCUGCUAAACCAGUAGAUCUAGGCAGUUCUGUAUUUAUUGCAGACAGCAGGCAAUUUUUUUUUAGCCACGUACACAAACGCAGGUUCUUGCCUCAGAGAUAGUAGGAACUGCAGAUGCUGGAGAAUCUGGGAUAACGACAUGUAGAGCUGGAUGAACACAGCAGGUCAAGCCGCAUAAGAGGAGCAGGAAGGCUGACGCUCCGGGCCUGGACCCUGCUGGUUUUUGCCUUCCUGGUGCCAGGCUCCUGGAUGCCACUGAGUGGCUGCAGAACAUUCUGGAGGAGGCAUGGCGAAUAGCCCGAGCUCAUGAUCUAGAUGAGUUCCAGUGACACUGUUUGGGAAAAAAAGUUGAGUUUCAGGAAGCAAGAGAUUAAAAAACAGAUCUUAAAGAAAUGCAGAAUUCUGUGAGAGCGUUCACUUUCGCUGUUCGUAGAAACACUUGUCAUUGCCCUGCAAUGUGUCCAGCUUCAUGGUGCAGUGUACGGGAAUGGCAUCUAUCUUAGCCCAUUGUCAAGUAUUUCUUUU
Molecule: long non-coding RNA, 745 nt
Organism: Stegostoma tigrinum
Lineage: Eukaryota; Metazoa; Chordata; Chondrichthyes; Orectolobiformes; Stegostomatidae
Exons: 3
Source: RefSeq, a predicted model, not a curated record